CUACGCUGAACGGAAGAUGGAAGGUGUCUCAGUUACGGCUGCGUGGGCGCUCCGAAGCAGCUUCCGUUGUGGAGGGGACGAGUGUCCGCUCGGAAGAUCGAUCACCUGUGAUUUACCAGUCUUAAAAGGCAAUGCCGACCUCCGCACGCCCCUCCAUGAGCGUCUGGACAUUCUGACAACUUCCACCACCAACCGCCCAGACCUGACUGACAUUCCCUUGCAACACCCAGAUGAGACCUUCUUCACCAAUGGUAACAGUUUUGUGGAAGACAAAAUCAGUCUCUUCAAGCCUUACAGAUUCUUCAGAGUGAGAUCCAGGCUACAAUACAACAGGCUCAAACAAAACCCUUUGUGAUGUUCCAGCCCCAUGGUUUCAAGCCAGAAGACCUGGUCCUGAUAUGCUUGGUUUGUUGCACCAAGGACUUGACUAAAUACAUUCCCAAAUCAGUCUUGGCUACCCAAUCUGCCACUUUAUUUUGUGUCACCAUGUAUGUUGUUCCACAAGUCUUGUAUUAUAAUGAAGAAGGGGACCGUGAACAUCUGGGAUUAACCACUGAACACUAUAGGAGUAAACGGGCUGCCUCCAUUUAGUGCCCAUCUAGUGGGAUUAGGAAUAGGCAGGUCAGUGGCUAUUGGAACUUCCUCCCUGAUCCUUCAGGACACAAAUUUUAAAGCCCUAAGCCGCCAAGUAGCCAGAGAUUUGGGUCACCUGGAAGACUCAAUCUCCAGAUUAAAAAACCAGGUUGAUUCCCUAGCUGAGAUGGUCCUGCAAAAUCAAAGGGGACUUGACCUCCUGUUCAUAAAACAAGGAGGGUUAUGUGUAGCUCUAGGAGAAACCUGUUGCUUCUAUGCUAAUCGGUCUGGUGUCAUUAGAGAUACCUUAGCUAUGGUCAGG
RNAcentral lists this long non-coding RNA (895 nucleotides) under Heterocephalus glaber (naked mole-rat). RNAcentral's name for it is "lncRNA (ENSHGLG00000040871.1)". The record is from RNAcentral. Lineage: Eukaryota; Metazoa; Chordata; Mammalia; Rodentia; Bathyergidae.